UCCUGACUGGCUCAGUUGGUAGAGCAUGUGACUCUUGAUCUCAUGGUCAUGAGUUUGAGCCCCAUGUUGGGCA
RNAcentral lists this transfer RNA (73 nucleotides) under Canis lupus familiaris (dog). It matches the Rfam family "tRNA". From Rfam's summary of the family: Transfer RNA (tRNA) molecules are approximately 80 nucleotides in length. Lineage: Eukaryota; Metazoa; Chordata; Mammalia; Carnivora; Canidae. RNAcentral also lists the same sequence under 1 other name. The record is from Rfam by way of RNAcentral.